UACGGGGGGGGCAAGCGUUGUUCGGAAUUACUGGGCGUAAAGCGUGCGCAGGCGGUUCGUUGUGUCGGUGGUGAAAUCCCCGGGCUUAACCUGGGAAUGGCCAUGGAAACUGGCGAACUGGAGUGCGGCAGAGGGGGGUGGAAUUCCGCGUGUAGCAGUGAAAUGCGUAGAGAUGCGGAGGAACACCGAUGGCGAAGGCAGCCCCCUGGGCUAGCACUGACGCUCAGGCACGAAAGCGUGGGGAGCAAACAGG
This 253-nucleotide ribosomal RNA is filed under the name uncultured bacterium. RNAcentral's name for it is "partial 16S ribosomal RNA". It matches the Rfam family "Bacterial small subunit ribosomal RNA", at positions 524 to 776 of the family's 1533-position model. The record is from RNAcentral.